CACUAGGUGGGAGGAGGCUGAGAGUGUGGUGGGGCAGCCUGGGAGCUGGGGCAGUGCAGACAGACGAGCAACUGUUUCAUCACAGAUGCUUCUGUCCUUACCCAGCCCUUCUGCUCUGCAGGACAGGGAGGAAGUUCAGGUUGUGGGGAGCACUGGGCCUCCAGAAGCCUGUAGGGGGAGGACAGAGGACAGUGACGUCACAGUAUUCCCCUCCCAACAGGAAAAUCAAGGCCCAGAACUCACUUGGCUCUUCCCCAGAGGACCAAGUCCUGAAUCAGGUGCAGUGCUACCUGCCUCACUGUGCCAUGAACCCUGGGCUCCUAUGCUGGACACUGCUUUGUCUCCUGGGAGCAGUCCCAGUGCAGGCUGAAGUCACCCAAAGUCCCACACACCUGAUCAAAACAAGAGGACAGCAAGUGACUCUGAGAUGCUCUCCUAUCUCUGGGCACACCAGUGUGUCCUGGUACCAACAGGCCCCAGGUCAGGGGCCUCAGUUUAUCUUUGAAUAUGUUAAUGAGUUAAAGAGAUCAGAAGGAAACUUCCCUGCUCGAUUCUCAGGGUUCCAAUUCUCUGACUAUCACUCUGAGAUGAACAUAAGCACCUUGGAGCUGGGGGACUCAGCCCUGUAUCUCUGUGCCAGCAGCUUGGCACAGCCCUGCAGAGUCACUGCAACUCUGUGCACCAACCUCUCUGCUUCAGUAUAUGGCAAUCUCAGAUCUGACAGCUGUGAGAACCUGGGGCCUUCAGGGGCAAAGAAAAACAAUUUCAGGACUCUGAACAAGGCUGGGGAAAGCAAGGCCAGGAGGAUCUGCUCAGAGGAUGCUGCUGCUUCAGGAGGUUCAUGCAAAUUACCUUCUUUGCUGGAUGCUGUACACUACAGUCAUAGAGUAGCUGACACUCUCCUUUUUAGGAAAAGAAAUUCAUUUUGGUGUCAGGAUUGUUGGACAGAUGUGUAAUAUAGAAGGUAAAAUCUCAAGGGCUUGCUUUACAUAAUUAAGAGAAGAAAUUGAAAUUUGGGGAAAUUUGAGGAGACCAUGAUUAAAGAUUAUUUAAAAAUAGAGGUAGAGCUACCAGAUGAUAAAACAAUUGUGUUCGCUGCAACAUAACCUGUCAAA
Sapajus apella (tufted capuchin) is the source of this 1115-nucleotide non-coding RNA. The record is from the annotation of a RefSeq genome assembly. NCBI's taxonomy places the organism in Eukaryota, Metazoa, Chordata, Mammalia, Primates, Cebidae.